This is a non-coding RNA of Esox lucius (northern pike), 1028 nucleotides long. NCBI's taxonomy places the organism in Eukaryota, Metazoa, Chordata, Actinopteri, Esociformes, Esocidae. The record is from the annotation of a RefSeq genome assembly.
GUUUUUCACAAAAAACAUGUGAAAUUCUGUGAGUGGUCUGCCAGUGUACAGUAAACACAAGACCUGCCCACACAAAAUGCAGACUGGUUUUUGACAUAUGGAUUUUCACUGUGUACUUAUAAAAAUAUUUGGCUCUGGGACAAGACUUUAUGUGACAGAAAAGGAAUUCAUAAAACCGAAGGUGACAGUCUACCCAGCAUUAAAACCCGGGCUGAAUGGAAACACCACCCUGCUAUGUCUGGCUAAAGACAUGUUUCCAGACUUAGUCAAGAUCUCAUGGAAGAUGGUGGAUGAAAAUGGCACAGUCGUGAAGGUAUCCGAAGAGAAGACAGAAGUGCUGGAACAGACGGAUGAAGGACAGAUGACCAGUAUGAUCAUCAUUAAAGAAGAGAAGGCAGAUGUUAAUAAAUACAUCUGUUGGGUGACGCAUGAAGCAGGCUUUAACAUUGACGAAGAAACCGGCCAGUCCAUGUGUCGUCUGAACCUGGCAUUUCUGGCUUAUAUUGGGAUGAUAGCGAAGAGCAUGUUGUACUGCUGUGGAAUCACAUUCCUGUUUCAUCACAGGAACAUGGGAAGUAAACCCCACAUCUGUAGACACAUUAAUUGAACUGACUGAGUAACUAAUUAAAAUUUAAAAAAUUAACAAAAAUGUAAACUGAUGUUAUUACAAUAAUUUAUCAACCACAAAUAAUACCAGUACAAAGUCAUGGAAAAUAAAUAAAUGAAAUAUUAAAGACAUUUUUGUGGCAUGUGUACUUAAAAAGAAUGAAAUGCUGAGUGCUUAUUAAGCUGAGAAACUGCUAAAAAGUACAUUUCUAAGACGAAGUGAAAUCAUUGUUGUGCUGUUCUUUUUUAGGGUGCUUUUUUAAGGGUUAUGCAUCGUUUAGUAGAUUAGUAUAAUAAUCACUGUCAUAUUACAAUAAGAUAGUAGAACAUCAAGUAGAACAAAACAUGGUUUGGCAAAAGAUUGUAAAGUGUGUAUGUCCAGACAGAAACUAACACCAUUAAUAAAGGACUUGAUUUAAGAU